This 742-nucleotide long non-coding RNA is filed under the name Equus asinus (donkey). RNAcentral describes it as "lncRNA (ENSEASG00005032982.1)". Lineage: Eukaryota; Metazoa; Chordata; Mammalia; Perissodactyla; Equidae. The record is from RNAcentral.
CUCCAUUCUAGAAUUCUAAGACUUCUUACCCUAAAUUUCCCAUUGUUCGGCAGCACUCAGUGUCAUGGAACGUGCAGUGGGGACGCCUGACUCAACCUUAGAGCCGGUGGAAGAGAGCCGGCCAGAGCAGGCAGAGGAUUCUGUGUUGUCCAGCUUGGAUGGAGGCAGCCUCAGAAAGUGGCCAAGAUCCCAUGCAUCGCCACAGCGUACAGAUACUCAAACAAGCCUGCGAGUUGGGCAGGGCAGAGUUAACAGUACAGAAAGCUGUGACCACAGCCCUGUUUCCCUUGGCUGAGGAGGGAGCUGCUGAAGAGGUGCCCCCGACUCGUCCCCUCCUGAAAGGAGUCUCCCAGCAGCCCAUGGCAGUCUUGCAGGAAUGGCAAUCACAACGAGAUCGAAAACUAUUGGUGACUUUUUCCACUUGAAUAUUUAAAGACACAGUUUAUUCUUUGUAAAAAGCUGCUUGGCAAUUGCCCUGAUGCUGAAUUUUUGUGGAAGACGUCAGAUGCGCACAUUCUUCACCUCAGUUGUCUAAAAGCACAAGUGGUUUGCCGUCUCCAUUGUUUGUUUCCUUGGUGUGCACUCUCUUCAGUCCCUGGGAGCCCGAGGAAGCCUGGUGUUACAUAAGCACUUCAUCAGAAUAAACAUCCAGCUAGAGGCUGCUUCCUUGGUCCUCCCGCCCUGGAGGAGCGCUUCCCUCAACCCCGACAUUUCCCAGACUGCAGACAGAUUUGCGUUCCUG